CUAAGGAAUAUACGGAGGCUACACAUACUUGUUUGAAACAAUGUUCAGUUUUGAGGGGCUUACCUCUCUAAACUUGUUCUUUGAAAACUAGAUAUUAUCAAUUAUUUUCCUUUAAUUAUUAAGAUAAUUAAACCGAGAAACAACUGUCGUAUUUUUGAGUUUUUUAAUUAGUUUAUCGCUAAUACUCAAUUAAUUUGACGAUCACGAAGUGACCGUUA
RNAcentral lists this unclassified non-coding RNA (218 nucleotides) under Lactobacillus sp. GTH18. RNAcentral describes it as "16S-23S ribosomal RNA intergenic spacer region". The record is from RNAcentral. Lineage: Bacteria; Bacillati; Bacillota; Bacilli; Lactobacillales; Lactobacillaceae.